RNAcentral lists this ribosomal RNA (478 nucleotides) under uncultured organism. RNAcentral describes it as "partial 16S ribosomal RNA". It matches the Rfam family "Bacterial small subunit ribosomal RNA", at positions 330 to 799 of the family's 1533-position model. The record is from RNAcentral.
CGUACACUCCUACGGGAGGCAGCAGUAGGGAAUCUUCGGCAAUGGGGGCAACCCUGACCGAGCAACGCCGCGUGAGUGAAGAAGGUUUUCGGAUCGUAAAGCUCUGUUGUAAGUCAAGAACGAGUGUGAGAGUGGAAAGUUCACACUGUGACGGUAGCUUACCAGAAAGGGACGGCUAACUACGUGCCAGCAGCCGCGGUAAUACGUAGGUCCCGAGCGUUGUCCGGAUUUAUUGGGCGUAAAGCGAGCGCAGGCGGUUUGAUAAGUCUGAAGUUAAAGGCUGUGGCUCAACCAUAGUUCGCUUUGGAAACUGUCAAACUUGAGUGCAGAAGGGGAGAGUGGAAUUCCAUGUGUAGCGGUGAAAUGCGUAGAUAUAUGGAGGAACACCGGUGGCGAAAGCGGCUCUCUGGUCUGUAACUGACGCUGAGGCUCGAAAGCGUGGGGAGCGAACAGGAUUAGAUACCCUGGUAGUCCCAUG